AAAUGCGUAGAGAUCUGGAGGAAUACCGGUGGCGAAGGCGGCCCCCUGGACAAAGACUGACGCUCAGGUGCGAAAGCGUGGGGAGCAAACAGGAUUAGAUACCCUGGUAGUCCACGCUGUAAACGAUGUCGACUUGGAGGUUGUUCCCUUGAGGAGUGGCUUCCGGAGCUAACGCGUUAAGUCGACCGCCUGGGGAGUACGGCCGCAAGGUUAAAACUCAAAUGAAUUGACGGGGGCCCGCACAAGCGGUGGAGCAUGUGGUUUAAUUCGAUGCAACGCGAAGAACCUUACCUACUCUUGACAUCCAGAGAACUUAGCAGAGAUGCUUUGGUGCCUUCGGGAACUCUGAGACAGGUGCUGCAUGGCUGUCGUCAGCUCGUGUUGUGAAAUGUUGGGUUAAGUCCCGCAACGAGCGCAAC
This 419-nucleotide ribosomal RNA is filed under the name Klebsiella planticola. RNAcentral describes it as "bacterial SSU rRNA". It matches the Rfam family "Bacterial small subunit ribosomal RNA", at positions 684 to 1102 of the family's 1533-position model. Lineage: Bacteria; Pseudomonadati; Pseudomonadota; Gammaproteobacteria; Enterobacterales; Enterobacteriaceae. The record is from RNAcentral.